This 88-nucleotide ribosomal RNA is filed under the name Escherichia coli. Lineage: Bacteria; Pseudomonadati; Pseudomonadota; Gammaproteobacteria; Enterobacterales; Enterobacteriaceae. The record is from RNAcentral.
CUGACCCCAUGCCGAACUCAGAAGUGAAACGCCGUAGCGCCGAUGGUAGUGUGGGGUCUCCCCAUGCGAGAGUAGGGGACUGCCAGGC